AACUCUUGAGGACCAUUCCCUCCUUUGGUUGCACCGAUGCUACUGGAGUUGUUUUGGGAUCUGACAGUUUGAUAGUUCUUGCACAUAAAUUGGCCCCCAUUCAAGUCUUGAAGUAUUAUCCUGAUUUCGAUAAUUAUUAUGCCUACCAGAGUUUCGAGUUGGAUGAACCCGUCAUAGGAAUUACCACUUUCUAUAUAGGAGGUUUUGGUAUGAGUGAUGCAUACCUAUGUGUCAUCACAGAAAAUGAGAACUAUUUCAUCUAUGAAUUCCGAUUUCUAGAAGGCUGGAAAAUAAAAUCGACUGGUCAGUUGGAAGGUUUGAAAAAAUUUGUGCCGUUCGAGCUGAACAAAAAGAGUUAUAUAUUUGCACCGUCCAGUAAAAUCAGUUCUUUAUUAACAGUAGUGAAGAAUGGAUCUAAUUAAAUUAUUUAUAUAAAGUAAUAUACACUUUUUAUAAUCCUUCUCCAG
This is a long non-coding RNA of Leptinotarsa decemlineata (Colorado potato beetle), 467 nucleotides long. The record is from RefSeq and is a predicted model, not a curated record. NCBI's taxonomy places the organism in Eukaryota, Metazoa, Arthropoda, Insecta, Coleoptera, Chrysomelidae.